This 398-nucleotide ribosomal RNA is filed under the name uncultured bacterium. RNAcentral describes it as "partial 16S ribosomal RNA". It matches the Rfam family "Bacterial small subunit ribosomal RNA", at positions 338 to 733 of the family's 1533-position model. The record is from RNAcentral.
CCUACGGGGUGCUGCAGUGAGGAAUAUUGGUCAAUGGACGCAAGUCUGAACCAGCCAUGCCGCGUGCGGGAAGACGGCUCUGUGAGUUGUAAACUGCUUUUGUACGGGGGUAAACGCAGAUACGCGUAUCUGUCUGAAUGUAUCUUACGAAUAAGGAUCGACUAACUCCGUGCCAGCAGCCGCGGUAAUACGGAGGAUUCAAGCGUUAUCCGGAUUUAUUGGGUUUAAAGGGUGCGUAGGCGGUCGGAUAAGUUAGAGGUGAAAUCCCGAGGCUCAACUUCGGAAUUGCCUCUGAUACUGGUAGGCUAGAGAGGAGUUGAGGUAGGCGGAAUGUACGGUGUAGCGGUGAAAUGCUUAGAGAUCAUACAGAACACCGAGUGCGAAGGCAGCAUACCAAG